UGAUGAAUAGAGUGAAGUUGACCUACAAGGAGAUCUAAUCCAUUUACCCUAGCUAUCGAAUCAGCCAAGCUGACUGUAUACAAAGUUAGUGGGAAGCUAGAGGAGAUGAUGAUAUAGUCUUUUAGCACUUAGAUAAACCAAGUAGUAGAGUGAUAAAUAAAUCAGCAGCUUUAAUAGAAGUAAAGGUUGUAGACAGCUAUCAUUAUUUUUUUAAAAAAAUUUUGUUUAUUAAAGUUUUUUUAAUAUCCCUAAGACACCACAGUAGUUUUCACAAAAAAAAAAUCAUUUUUUUGACCAGUUGAAGAAUAUGCUUUAGUAUACCAUGGCAAUGGAAUCAAGGGGAAAAAAAGAAGGCAAAUAAAAAGCUUACUACCCUCCUCAUCUCCCAACAAGUUUCAACUAUGGCCAUCACAUGACUUAAGAUCUCAAAUGAAUACUUCUGUGGGAGAAAUGCAGAUGGAAGGAGCUAAGGCAUAAAUAAUAAAUAACCCCAUAUGAGCUUCUAUAGCCCUUGGCUGUUUUCUCAUUCGAAAAGCUGCACACUGUCCACAGCGACUCACCGAGGUAAACAAAGUAAGGAGACAAGAUGCUGCCCAGUCGUGAUGCCAUGGAACUGGCUCCCACACCCAUGUUCCUGACCACUGUGGCAUAGAGCUCAGCUGUGUACACGUACACGAUGGCAAAAGCACAG
Non-coding RNA from Phascolarctos cinereus (koala), 691 nucleotides. Lineage: Eukaryota; Metazoa; Chordata; Mammalia; Diprotodontia; Phascolarctidae. The record is from RefSeq and is a predicted model, not a curated record.